UAGUCAUUUCUUGUUUUGCUCGUAGUUGUUGAAUCGUAGCUCCGAUUUGAUCAUGUCCUACAUGUAACUUGCUUAGAAUCUCGUGUAGUUUCAUUUUCUCUUGCUGUUUGAAUGUUUUGAAGUGCUCGUGACCGACGUUGCACACAUAUUGCAUUCAUGCCAUCAUAUCUUGCGGUGCUUGUAGCUUUUGUUCCGUAGCUCCGUUGGAGAUGUUCUUUAUGUGUAGAUUGCUUGCCUGGACGCGUAGAAUCACGUAAACCUAUUUGUUUUUCUGUUGAACAACUAAUUAAAUGCAUUAGUACAGAUCUGGACAGAAUUGUAAAUUAACAUGUGAGGUCGUUUCGGAGGUGCUAUAUGUCAUUUCCGACCUCACUUAAAAUGCCUAGAUAGGUAGUUUAAUUUCCGCUUCACCUCUUGCAUGUUUGACAACAUUAAUAUUGCCGUGUAGAUAACCGGGAGUGAACAAAAUAAUUAACGUGGAGUUU
This 485-nucleotide long non-coding RNA is filed under the name Hordeum vulgare. Its description in RNAcentral is "long non-coding RNA (HVUL_LNC019346)". The record is from RNAcentral. Lineage: Eukaryota; Viridiplantae; Streptophyta; Magnoliopsida; Poales; Poaceae.